Molecule: ribosomal RNA, 420 nt
Filed under: uncultured archaeon
Lineage: Archaea
Description: partial 16S ribosomal RNA
Rfam family: Archaeal small subunit ribosomal RNA
Source: RNAcentral
CUACGGGCCGCUGCAGUCGAGGAAAUUUUUCAAUGCCCGCAAGGGUGAACGAGUAAGCCAGAGUGUUUUCUUUACGAAAACUUUUGUCUGUUGUAAAAAGACAGACGAAUAAGGACUGGGCAAGACCGGUGCCAGCCGCCGCGGUAAUCCCGGCGGUCCGAGUCGCAUCCACAAUUAUUGGGUCUAAAACAUCCGUAGCUUGUUUUGUAAGUCUCUUGUGGAAUUUCAUAUCUCAAGUAUGAAGCGUGCAAGAGAUACUACAUUGCUAGAGACCGGAAGACGCAAAGAGUACGACGGAGGUAGCGGUAAAAUGUGUUAAUCUCUGCCGGACUAACAAUGGCGAAGGCACUUUGCGAGUACGGAUCUGACAGUGAGGGAUGAAGGCUAGGGGCGCAAAAGGGAUUAGAUACCCCCGUAGUC